Molecule: small nucleolar RNA, 132 nt
Organism: Rattus rattus (black rat)
Lineage: Eukaryota; Metazoa; Chordata; Mammalia; Rodentia; Muridae
Product: small nucleolar RNA SNORA17
Exons: 1
Source: RefSeq, a predicted model, not a curated record
ACUGCUCUCACAAGCAUUUCAUUUGUGGCUGCUGUGUCACAUGUGCAUCAGUAGGUGGCAGAGAAGAGAGAAGAUAUGUCUAACCUCAAUGUUCUGACCUAUGAAUACCUACAUGUUGAGUAGUCUAACAUU